RNAcentral lists this ribosomal RNA (433 nucleotides) under uncultured bacterium. RNAcentral's name for it is "partial 16S ribosomal RNA". It matches the Rfam family "Bacterial small subunit ribosomal RNA", at positions 29 to 507 of the family's 1533-position model. The record is from RNAcentral.
AGCGAACGCUGGCGGCAGGCUUAACACAUGCAAGUCGAGCGGGCCCUUCGGGGUCAGCGGCGGACGGGUGAGUAACGCGUGGGAACGUGCCUUCUGGUCUGGAAUAACCCUGGUAAACUAGGGCUAAUAACGGAUACGCCCUUUUGGGGAAAGGUUUACUGCCGGAAGAUCGGCCCGCGACUGAUUAGCCAGUUGGUGGGGUAACGGCCUACCAAGGAGACGAUCAGUAGCUGGUCUGAGAGGAUGAUCAGCCACACUGGGACUGAGACACGGCCCAGACUCCUACGCGAGGCAGGAGAGGGGAAUAUUGGACAAUGGGCGCGAGCCUGAUCCAGCCAUGCCGGGUGAGUGAUGAAGGCCUUAGGGUUGUAAAGCUCUUUUAUCCGGGACGAUAAUGACGGUACCGGAGGAAUAAGCCCCGGCUAACUUCGUG